GUGGGGAAUAUUGGUCAAUGGGCGGGAGCCUGAACCAGCCAAGUCGCGUGAAGGAAGAAGGAUCUAUGGUUCGUAAACUUCUUUUGCAGGGGAAUAAAGUGCAGGACGUGUCCUGUUUUGUAUGUACCCUGAGAAUAAGGAUCGGCUAACUCCGUGCCAGCAGCCGCGGUAAUACGGAGGAUCCGAGCGUUAUCCGGAUUUAUUGGGUUUAAAGGGUGCGGAGGUGGUUUGAUAAGUCAGCGGUGAAAGUUUGCAGCUUAACUGUAAAAAUGCCGUUGAAACUGUCGGACUUGAGUGUAAAUGAGGUAGGCGGAAUGCGUGGUGUAGCGGUGAAAUGCAUAGAUAUCACGCAGAACUCCGAUUGCGAAGGCAGCUUACUAUUUCGUAAUUGACGCUGAGGCACGAAAGCGUGGGUAGCGAACAGGAUUAGAUACCCGUGUAGUCC
Molecule: ribosomal RNA, 445 nt
Filed under: uncultured bacterium
Lineage: Bacteria
Description: partial 16S ribosomal RNA
Rfam family: Bacterial small subunit ribosomal RNA
Source: RNAcentral